UUGAAAGGGAAACGAUUGAAGUCAGUCAUACCAGCGAGAAAUCAAUCGAUUUGGAUGUGAUUCUGUGGGUUUAGGAGAGUUUAAUAACCUUCGGUUUGCGGAAUCGUAUCUUUUCGAUGUAUUUUUUCGUACGGUUGGUUAACAUCGAUUUUGAACAUUAUAAAAUGAUCGGAGGAAUGUGGCUUCGAUCUCGUAUCGAAGUGUUAUAACCUUUGGUAAAUGUAAUGAUCAAGUUCGAGGAUUGCAACGGAUACCCUUUCGGGCUAUUCGUCUGAUCUCUGACACGUU
This 288-nucleotide ribosomal RNA is filed under the name uncultured Glomeromycotina. Its description in RNAcentral is "partial 25S ribosomal RNA". The record is from RNAcentral. Lineage: Eukaryota; Fungi; Glomeromycota.